UAAAAAUAAAAACAAAAAGUUUUCAACUCUGAUCAAACAGAUGCGUAACUUCAGGAAGAGAGAGAAAUCGAGUCUUGGAUCUUUAAGGCAUCAGACCUUCGAUCUCCAUCAUUUCUUCGGUUGUUUGAUCUGAAAAAUCUUGUUCUGCUCUUCAUUUGAGCGUAUAUCUUCCAGAUUGUUCGAAUCCCUAUGAUCUAAAUAGAUCUAGGGCUUAAGGUUAGCGUUUUCAGGAGCGUAUAUCUUCCAGAUAGUUCGAAUCCAUAUGAUCUAAAUCGGUCUAGGGCUCAAGGUUAGGGUUUUCUGAUAUGGAUUUGCUACAUUGAGUAGGGCUCAAGCAAUUGGCGUUGGAUGUGGAUCGUUGGAAACAGUGAGUAGAAGCUCAAUGAUGAAGAGAUAUAGAUCAUAGUUAUUCUUGUGGUGAUCUUCUAAUGGAGUUGGGUGCUGGGGUAGAGUUGGCAACUACAGCUGUGCCACACCUUUUUUUGUCUUUGGCUUGUGCUACCAAUGUGGCCAAGAAUGUUGGUGCUGUCACAUCAACCGCAACUCGCACUCCAAUAUACAAAGCCUUUGCCAAAGGUGAAAACAUUGGGGAUGUUACUGCGAAGGGAGAAUGUGUUGGCAAUGUUGUCGAUUUGGGAGACAUCCUGGAAGAUCCAACAAAGGAGCCAAACAAGGACAUGUACAUGAUGACUAUUGAGCCAGAAGAUGCACCCAACCAACCUGAAUAUGUACAAAUUGGGAUGGUUUCAGGGCUUCCUAUUUCAGUCAGUGGAAAGGAAUUCUCCCCUGCAUCUCUGCUUUCUGAGCUGAAUGAAAUUGGUGGGCAUAUUAUUUGAGAACUGGGCAAUGCAAGUUUGGGAGCACUUGUAAAUUCCACCAUCCUCCACGAUCUAAUAUGAUGGCCUAAUUUUAAGGUUUACUUACAGUGGUUAAUGAAAUAGUGUUACAUUAUGUGUAGGAAAAGAAAUAGUGUUACAUUGGAGGUACCCCUGUUUCAAGGUUGAAAUAGUGUUCUAUUUCAAGGUUUGUUCGAAAGUGCAUCUUAGAUGAACCUUAUAGGUACCCGUGUUUCUCUUAUUGACCACAUUGGAGGUAUUCCUAUUUCUUUUAUCUCUUCUAACAUGGAUGAACCUUUAUGGCCCAAUGGCUUGUAUAUGCACCUUAAAGAAUAUUUUUAUUUUUAUUUUUUGGCUUCUUCUUUCCAAUUAUUAUUAUUAUUAUUAUUAUUAUUAUUAUUAUUAUUAUUCUUAUUCUUAUUAUUAUUAUUCUUUUCAAAAAUCUGACUAUGACAAGUUUUAUUGAUUGCAUGGUGGAUUCAAGAACAUGCAUAAAUGUCAGCCCAUGUAUUGUACAAUUGGGGAAAACCAUUUCAAAGUAAGUCCUGGGUCAUCAAAUGCAUCUAGUUCUAGCUCAUCAAAAGAGCAGCAUAAUCAACAAUAUCCAGUACCAGAGGUCAAACGCAAAAAGCGACAUCGGAGAAAGCAUUUUGAGAACCAAGAACCAUGUUUGAUGAGAGGUGUCUAAUUUAAGAAUAUGAAAUGGCAGGCAGCCAUAAAAGUUGACAAGAAACAAAUUCACUUGGGGACUGCUGGAUCUCAAGAAGCUGCAGCUCGUUUGUAUGACAGUUAAUAUGGUGCAGAAGUGGUUUAAUUGAUUGCAUUAGUAGGCUAAGCAAGAAUCUGCUCCGCUCGUUUUGGGUGGAAAGCUGUGGAGGAGCGCUCAUAGAACUCCCAAGCAAGAUAUUGCCUUUGUGAAUUUUGGCCUGUUGGAUGAUAUUUUCUUUGUGAACUCCCAAGCAUUUCAUCAUUCUUAUUGUUAAAUUUUUAUUUGCUUAUUAUUGUGCUAACCAAGAUUGUAGAAAAUUGAUGUGGAACUUCUGUUCAAAUUAUAUUUUUUUGCUUGUCUUGUUGAGUUUGUUA
This is a non-coding RNA of Camellia sinensis, 1919 nucleotides long. NCBI's taxonomy places the organism in Eukaryota, Viridiplantae, Streptophyta, Magnoliopsida, Ericales, Theaceae. The record is from RefSeq and is a predicted model, not a curated record.